CCUACGGAUGGCUGCAGUGGGGAAUAUUGGGCAAUGAGCGCAAGCCUGACCCAGCAACGCCGCGUGCAGGAAGAAGGCUUUCGGGUUGUAAACUUCUUUUAAGAGGGAAGAGCAGAUGACGGUACCUCUUGAAUAAGCCACGGCUAACUACGUGCCAGCAGCCUGGGUAAUACGUAGGUGGCAAGCGUUGUCCGGAUUUAGUGGGUGUAAAGGGCGUGUAGCCGGGCUGAUAAGUCAGAUGUGAAAUUCCGGGGCUCAACCCCGGACCUGCAUUUGAAACUGUUGGUCUUGAGUAUCGGAGAGGCAGGCGGAAUUCCAAGUGUAGCGGUGAAAUGCGUAGAUAUUAGGAGGAACACCAGAGGCGAAGGCAGCUUGCUGGA
This 380-nucleotide ribosomal RNA is filed under the name uncultured bacterium. RNAcentral describes it as "partial 16S ribosomal RNA". It matches the Rfam family "Bacterial small subunit ribosomal RNA", at positions 338 to 733 of the family's 1533-position model. The record is from RNAcentral.